This 440-nucleotide ribosomal RNA is filed under the name uncultured bacterium. RNAcentral describes it as "partial 16S ribosomal RNA". It matches the Rfam family "Bacterial small subunit ribosomal RNA", at positions 338 to 795 of the family's 1533-position model. The record is from RNAcentral.
CCUACGGGUGGCAGCAGUGGGGAAUAUUGCACAAUGGGGGAAACCCUGAUGCAGCGACGCCGCGUGAGUGAAGAAGGCUUUCGGGAUGUAAAGUUCUAUCAUCAGGGAAGAAAAUGACGGUACCUGACUAAGAAGCCCCGGCUAACUACGUGCCAGCAGCCGCGGUAAUACGUAGGGUGCGAGCGUUAUCCGGAUUGACUGGGUGUAAAGGGAGCGUAGGCGGCGCUGCAAGUCCGGAGUGAAAGCCGAGGGGUUAACCAUUGUACAGCUCUGGAAACUGUGUAGAUUGAGUGCGGGAGGGGCAGGCGGAAUUCCUAGUGUAGCGGUGAAAUGCGUAGAUAUUAGGAGGAACACCGGCGGCGAAGGCGGCCUGCUGGACCGGAACUGACGCUGAGGCUCGAAAGCGUGGGGAGCAAACAGGAUUAGAUACCCGGGUAGUC